GACUCUUCAAUUUUUAUUUUUUCGUCUGCGAACUAGAAAUCCGGAUAAGGAAUUCUAUUGACCGAGGGGAAGGUGUUAGGCACCCCUCGAGUCCCGUGGUUCUAGCACGGUCGCUUUAAUGACUUAUGUCUGGCUUAAAUUAAUCUUUUGGAUACAUAAUAUUUGUCGGCCUAAAAGCUACUUACAUCCUACUUUGAAUUUAUUUUAAAUUAUUUAAAACUGCAUUGAUGUG
Molecule: long non-coding RNA, 232 nt
Filed under: Capsicum annuum
Lineage: Eukaryota; Viridiplantae; Streptophyta; Magnoliopsida; Solanales; Solanaceae
Description: long non-coding RNA (CANN_LNC006121)
Source: RNAcentral